This is a long non-coding RNA of Dermacentor silvarum, 318 nucleotides long. RefSeq lists it as uncharacterized. The transcript is spliced from 3 exons. NCBI's taxonomy places the organism in Eukaryota, Metazoa, Arthropoda, Arachnida, Ixodida, Ixodidae. The record is from RefSeq and is a predicted model, not a curated record.
GCAUUUAAAUGGCUUCUCGCCUGUGUGGGUGCGCAGGUGCUCUUUCAGGUGGGUCUUUCGUGAGAAGCUCUGAGGGCAUGAAGGGCAUUGAAAUGGCUUCUCACCCGUGUGGGUGCGCAGGUGCUCUUUCAGGUGGGUCUUUCGUGAGAAGCUCCGAAGGCAUGAAGGGCACUGAAACGGCUUCUCGCCUGUGUGGGUGCGCAGGUGUUUAUUAAGAUUUCCUUUUAGUGAGAAGCUCUGAGAGCAUGAAGGGCACUGAUAUGGCUUCUCUCCUGUGUGGGUGCGGAGGUGCUCCGUCAGGUGGGUCUUUUGCGAGAA